UUACUGAACUAUAGAAGAGAGAAAAACCUCCACAUUCAACAGAGUUCAACACAAAACAAACUUUAUGUUCCUCAACAUGCUGUCAUUACAUCACUGUGUGUUUCCUUACUGGCUUCUCUUCCUGUUAACAGGUGUGAUCUGUGAGGAGCUCACAGCACUCGACACUCAGAAAUCCAGUUUAGAACAAAGCACUGUGACUCUGUCCUAUAAAUACUCCAGACAAGCAGCUCCUGGUGAUUAUUUCUUCUGGUAUCGACAAUAUCCUGGAAAAUCUCCAGAGUUCCUGAUCUCACACUCAGACAAAGGACAGCUGACAUCAGAUCCAGUCAUUAGACUGUCUGUGAAAGUGAACGCUGAUCAAACACUGAUGACUCUUCAGAUCUCCUCUGCUGCAGUGACAGACUCUGCUGUGUACUACUGUGCUCUGCAGCCCACAGUGACAGGAAACACCAAAACUCUGUACAAAAACCUUUGGAGCAAAGACAACAGAAUACUCCACAACAUCCACUAGAGGGAGCCACACACUGUUAAACCUCUGAUUCUUGUGUCAUUGGACUGAUGACAAAUCUUCAUCUUUAUCUCCAACAGAAAUCAAACUGAUCAAUAACAACAUGAUAAAUGAUUGAUCACUGAUCCCACAGAGGUGGUUGUAGGUAAAGUACAGACAUCCAGGACUUGUUCCAUCAACUUCUUUACUCAAAAGUGAAAAAGUGCAGAGUUAACUGAACCUUGUGCUACAUUAAUGUAAAUGAAUGAUAUCAGCACACAGGAACACAAACUUUAUUUCAGUGUAAAUCUGAAUUAUAAUAAAAUCACUUUCUUAGAUUGAAUCAGUGAAGUCGAACAUGAGCAGAGAAAAAGGGGAAAAUAAAGACAUUUCUAUUUUCUGUUGGCUCCUUUAGAGAGUGACUGUGCCUCUAACAGGAACAUGAGCAGAGAACAGGUUGAAGUGGA
Molecule: non-coding RNA, 954 nt
Organism: Oreochromis aureus
Lineage: Eukaryota; Metazoa; Chordata; Actinopteri; Cichliformes; Cichlidae
Source: the annotation of a RefSeq genome assembly